CCUACGGGAGGCAGCAGUAAGGAAUAUUGGUCAAUGGGCGCAAGCCUGAACCAGCCAUGCCGCGUGCAGGAAGACGGCCCUAUGGGUUGUAAACUGCUUUUGAACAAGAGAAAACCUCGGUACGUGUACCGAGCUGAUAGUAUUGUUAGAAUAAGCAUCGGCUAACUUCGUGCCAGCAGCCGCGGUAAGACGAAGGAUGCAAGCGUUAUCCGGAUUCAUUGGGUUUAAAGGGUGCGUAGGCGGCCUGAUAAGUCAGUGGUGAAAUCUCUCAGCUUAACUGAGAAACUGCCAUUGAUACUGUCGGGCUUGAGUACAGAUGAUGUGGGCGGAAUAUGACAUGUAGUGGUGAAAUACUUAGAUAUGUCAUAGAACACCGAUUGCGAAGGCAGCUCACAAAACUGUAACUGACGCUGAGCGACGAAGUAGCGGGAGUACAACAGGUAGUAGUACUACCGUACGUACGUACGACGACCGUAACGUACGUAGUAUUACUUCGUUGUU
Molecule: ribosomal RNA, 501 nt
Filed under: uncultured bacterium
Lineage: Bacteria
Description: bacterial SSU rRNA
Rfam family: Bacterial small subunit ribosomal RNA
Source: RNAcentral